AUUUCUCUGAGAUGAUUGAAAGCGGGACAGUCACCAGAGCCUAUAUUUCAUACCACAAGAAUGUGGCGCUCCACUGUUGGUGAGCAUGCUCGGUUCGUCAGAGAAGCCUUAAAUCCGUGACGACACAUUCACCUUGAACCAAGGGUUCAAGGGUUACAGCCUGCGGGGGCAUCUCGGAGAUUCC
RNAcentral lists this non-coding RNA (184 nucleotides) under Klebsiella pneumoniae. RNAcentral's name for it is "6S RNA". It matches the Rfam family "6S / SsrS RNA". From Rfam's summary of the family: E. coli 6S RNA was the first non coding RNA to be sequenced, but its function was unknown until recently. It consists of 184 nucleotides that fold into an extended hairpin structure with a large single-stranded internal bulge. Lineage: Bacteria; Pseudomonadati; Pseudomonadota; Gammaproteobacteria; Enterobacterales; Enterobacteriaceae. The record is from RNAcentral.